RNAcentral lists this ribosomal RNA (253 nucleotides) under uncultured bacterium. RNAcentral describes it as "partial 16S ribosomal RNA". It matches the Rfam family "Bacterial small subunit ribosomal RNA", at positions 524 to 776 of the family's 1533-position model. The record is from RNAcentral.
UACGGAGGGUGCGAGCGUUAAUCGGAAUUACUGGGCGUAAAGCGCACGCAGGCGGUCUGUUAAGCUAGAUGUGAAAGCCCCGGGCUCAACCUGGGAUGGUCAUUUAGAACUGGCAGACUAGAGUCUUGGAGAGGGGAGUGGAAUUCCAGGUGUAGCGGUGAAAUGCGUAGAUAUCUGGAGGAACAUCAGUGGCGAAGGCGACUCCCUGGCCAAAGACUGACGCUCAUGUGCGAAAGUGUGGGUAGCGAACAGG